GUGAGUGUAGCUCAGUGGUAGAGCUCCGGAUUGUGGUUCCGGCUGUCGCGGGUUCGAUCCCCGUCACUCACCCCA
RNAcentral lists this transfer RNA (75 nucleotides) under Acidobacteriota bacterium. RNAcentral describes it as "Acidobacteria bacterium (soil metagenome) tRNA-His". It matches the Rfam family "tRNA". Rfam says of the family: Transfer RNA (tRNA) molecules are approximately 80 nucleotides in length. Lineage: Bacteria; Pseudomonadati; Acidobacteriota. The record is from RNAcentral.